Molecule: long non-coding RNA, 1008 nt
Filed under: Homo sapiens (human)
Lineage: Eukaryota; Metazoa; Chordata; Mammalia; Primates; Hominidae
Description: HSALNT0381720
Source: RNAcentral
UGCGGCCAAUCGGCGAGGGCUUCGUCAUCACCGCCCGCGCCCCGGGACUUCAUGGGACUUGUAGUUCCUCCGGGGAGCCUCGGGCGUGCCCCGCGAGGACUGUCCAGGCGGCUCCAGCGGAUAAAAGACCUGCUAUGGGCGGGGUGACAGGGUGGAGGCGUUUCCACCCGAGCUGGGAAGGGAGGCCCCGUUUCGUACUCUGCUGGUCGAGCCGCGGGAACUUAACUUUGUUAUUUCUUUGUGUGCAGACGCCUUCCAAAUCCAGGACCUCAGAAUCAGAGCCCCGUAGUUCCCGCAUCUCUUCCGCCGAGACCUGGAGCAGAGAUGCUUUCUUUCCUUGGCGCUGCUGUGGCGCAGCCUACGGGUUAUCUGCAGAGGGCAUUAUCCAGCUUCUCCCCGAGGCCAUGCCCAGCACCACUAUAACCCCCUCCCGCAGCCCCUCAGUCACAGAGCUGAGAAAGAAUGGUUACCAUGCUAACUCGAACCUCACUCGUGCCCCCUUCUUCACGCCACACAGACCAGAGCCAAAUACAAUGAGUAUUUAGAGAAUCUGCUACGCUGAUCGCUCCCCUCUCCUCGCAGGAGGAUGGAUUUUUAAAUCUGGGAAGUCUUGUGCUACAGGUCUGUGCCCCAUGAAACUGCAAGCAUCCUGUGAGGCGGGCCACGGGAAUUUAGAGAGCAAAGACCAAGUGAAGAGAUGUGUGAGAUUUUUUUCGAGCUGGCAAAAAGGAGACCCUAUCCAGGAGACUAGGCUUUAAGGAAGCUGUGAGGAAAGACGGCAGCAUCCAUUCCCAGAAUUCCUGACAGACUGGACUGAGAACACCCGUCCCUGCUCCCAGGCUUCUCCUGAGUCCCAGGGCAGGGCUCCCUGCUGCCGCCUCUGUCACUGUCAGAUCCACAGAAAGAUCAGAGAAGAGGGUGGGGCGCUGUGAUGGCUCUCUCUCCUCCACACCUGGGGAAGCUGCUUCACCCUCAAGCUCUGGGGGACUGGCAGAUGUUGUACUAACC